RNAcentral lists this non-coding RNA (20 nucleotides) under Mus musculus (house mouse). Lineage: Eukaryota; Metazoa; Chordata; Mammalia; Rodentia; Muridae. The record is from RNAcentral.
UGACUCCUAAGCUUGAGAGA